GGCACUAUAGCCAAGUGGUUACGGCGAUAGAUUCGAAUUCGCGUUCUUCUAUUACUCUCUGAGUGCGCAGGUUCAAAUCCUGCUGGUGUCG
Molecule: non-coding RNA, 91 nt
Organism: Desarmillaria tabescens
Lineage: Eukaryota; Fungi; Basidiomycota; Agaricomycetes; Agaricales; Physalacriaceae
Source: the annotation of a RefSeq genome assembly